UACGGGGGGGGCAAGCGUUGUUCGGAAUUACUGGGCGUAAAGGGCUCGUAGGUGGCCAACUAAGUCAGACGUGAAAUCCCCAGGCUCAACCUGGGAACUGCGUCUGAUACUGGAUGGCUUGAAUUCGGGAGAGGGAUGCAGAAUUCCAGGUGUAGCGGUGAAAUGCGUAGAUAUCAGGAGGAACACCGGUGGCGAAGGCGGCUUUCUGGACAGAUACCGACGCUGAGGCACGAAAGCUAGGGGAGCAAACAGG
Molecule: ribosomal RNA, 253 nt
Filed under: uncultured bacterium
Lineage: Bacteria
Description: partial 16S ribosomal RNA
Rfam family: Bacterial small subunit ribosomal RNA
Source: RNAcentral